AGCCCGGAGCCCUUUCUUUGGGUUUCAUUGAGCAAUGCUCUAGUAGAGUCAACGUAGGCAAACAGCUGCCAGCACCCUCACCAUGAAAAUAGGAGGUGCCUCGGUGGUCCUUGCUCUGGCAUUUUUCUGCUUCUUCUCAGAUGUUGCCAGUCAAGCUUCGAUUAAGAACGAAUGCAGGAAAAUGUGGUCACUCCUGCGCAGUGGGAAGUAUUCCUGUCCCAUCACCAAGGAGCCCUUCAGCAGCCCAAAUAAAAAAGGAGACCUCAACAAGUGCAUGAUGUGCCAAAGGCUGCUGGAAAGAGACUCAAAAGGGAGUGGUGGAGAGGUGGACAGGAAUGUGAACUCCUUGGGAAAGGAUGAGUGUCGGGAGUUUCGGGAUCUGUUCAAGAGAGGGAAACUCUCCUGCACCAGGGAGAACGACCCUGUCCGAGAUGCCUCUGGGAAGCAGCACAGCAAUAAGUGCAUCAUGUGUGCAGAGAAGUUCAAAAGGGAGAAUGAGCAGAAGUUAUCUAAAAACAGACAAGGAAAAGAUAAGGAUGACUGCAGUGAGUUUCGCUCCCAGUUUGAAGCCGGCGGCCGCCUGUCCUGCACGAGGGAGAACGCCCCUGUCCGGGAUGCCUCUGGCAGGCAGCACAUCAACAAAUGCCUCAUGUGUGCUGAGAAGUUCAAAAAGGAAGCUCAAAGAGAGGGUGGAACUCUCCAGCGCAACAAAUUGCCUGCUUCAGAGAGGACAAAGCAGAAGAACUGUGGUGGCUCACGGCAGGAUGUGAACGAGAGGCGUCCCUUCUCCUCGGGCAGAGGCCCACAAGUGCAGCGAGGCAGGAACUGCAACCGGGCACCAGGCCGCAAGUCACAGAGCAGAGACAGCUACGAGGACCCCACGCAGCUGGACUGUGAUCGAAUUCUGCAUGGGGUAAAGGGUGGAAGGAUUUUCUGCAGCGAAUCCUCACAACCAGUCUGUGGCACUGAUGGGAAAACAUACAAAAAUGAAUGUGACUUGUGUUCAGCUGCCAUGAGAGCUUCAAACUUCAUCACGGUAAACUAUCGAGGCGAGUGCCGAGAGCCUGGCCCUGCAGUGCCCAGUGCCUGCAACCACUCCUGCCUGCAAAGCUCCAGCUGGAUUUCCAGGUGUUUCUGGUGGCUCUGGUGACCUGAUGGCCAUCAGGGAAGGAUGCUUGUGGGAAGGGUUGGGAGCAGUGUGAGAGCCUGUUCCCACUGGCCAGCACUGGGUCUGGCCACCUUCCCUGGAAGGUCUCUGCCAUAACUGAAUUCCUUUGAUCCUGUUCUGCUUUACUGAUGACAAAUAUAGGUCGGCAUUGUGGGAUAAGCUAUCUUUUUUUGGAGUAAUGGAGUUCAGACUGCCAGCAAACCCCAGGGAUCAGCUGUGACCAAAGAGCAAGUAAAGGAAGCGUCGAUGCUGAGCAUCAGGGGAGCUGCCGAGCCCCCAGGACUGCCAGAGCUGCCUCCAUCCCCUUCUGCAGCACACGGGGCCUGUCCUUGCUCAGGUGGAGGGCGAGAGGCUGUGGGGACUCAGCGGUGCCUCCCAGGUGUGCCCGGUGCAUGCUGCUGCAGUCCCUGCUGCCUCGCUGUAUCUAAAUGUGCUUCUGCAAUAAAGAUAAAUCCUCAGCUUCA
This is an RNA transcript of Serinus canaria (Common canary), 1632 nucleotides long. It is a transcript of the gene named serine protease inhibitor Kazal-type 5-like, with no coding region annotated. The record is from RefSeq and is a predicted model, not a curated record. Lineage: Eukaryota; Metazoa; Chordata; Aves; Passeriformes; Fringillidae. The transcript is spliced from 15 exons.